UCUCCAGGUCCAUGAUGCUCUCCUGGGUCAGCUUCAGGUCACCCUCCAGCUUCCGCUUGGCUCGCUCCAGGUCCAUGCGCACCUUCUUCUCCUGCUCCAGGGAUCCCUCCAGCUGGCGGAGAGAAGGACCAGCCAUGUGCCAUGAGGCACAAAAACAUCUUUCUUGAGGUCAAAAGGCCUUGUCUGCGCCUCCAGCCGCUCCUUCUCAGACUUGCGCAGGAAGGGGGCUGCAGCCCCAAAUGCAGCCAUCUCUGCAUCUGCCAUGGCUGAGCCUGGGAGUGCCAUGUUUCUACCGAUCUGCCAUAUUUCUCAGACCAGCAACACGUACAAUAUCAUCGUGAGAGCAAUGAAGAGUGACCGCGACUCUAGACCAUGAUAAUGCAGCCCCGAGCACACGGAGUAGGGGUGAAGAGAGAACUCCUUGCCUUGUUCUCUGUUCCCUUUUGUCUUUUCUGGUACUGUUUUCUCAUUCCCAGCUCUUUUUCUGCAACUUAGGAGGGUGGCUCUUAAGUACUCAGAGAGUAUGAGAUGGACUCGCAGAUGCCAAAGCUCAGAGGGCUCCCUCCUCACUUGCACAGAUGCACCGAGGGAGCUUGUCCUGGAGCUGGCGGGUCCCUCACAGUCUUUGGCUCUCACUGAUUGGCCUGACAAGCAUCUCAGUCUCCAGAGGUCUCUGCUCUUAAGGUAAAAUGGGUACAUAGAGGUCUGGGAAAUAAGCCAUGCCUAGAGACCCAGGGUUAGCCUUUGCUCAUGUUUUAGUGUCUGCGAUUUCUCCUAGAAUUACAAUGUUUAUAGGUCUAGAGGCUCAACCUAUAACCCAGACCUGGGAUGACUCCCUUAUCUCCAGGUUGGGCCCUUGCUGUUCUUUAAGAAUUUGGUAGAAUGUUCUCUGAUGUUCCUGUACUGCACAGACAUGUAGCCUACCCCCGAGCGUCCAACUUUCCGAACAAGAAUUAAAAACGGAUUAAGUCAACAAAUAGACACACGCUUGCCGGCUUUUCUGAGCACGGGAGGAGGUAGUCAGUCACUUCCUGAUCUGAGGCUCCAAGUCACAUUUGGAAGAAGGGACCUUAGGGGCUGGCUGCUGCUUUCCUCAUGGGAUACCUGCCUUCUAGGAGCUGCAGGUAGCCUGGGGGUUAGAGUAUUGCUUGGGCCUGUAGACAGAUAGAAACCGAGAGCUGGGCAGACUCCCCGAAGUCUGAAGAGAUGAGGCUGUAGAAAAGGGCUCAGAAUUUACCAGGCUAGAAGAGCUGACCCAUUCUGAGCAGGAAGAACGGGAAAGGAGCAGGAGAAUAUGGUGGUUGGUUUUCUCUGGAGAGAAGAGCAGAUGAGGCUGUCUGCAAAGUUGCAAGGGUGGGGCUGCCAGGGGUUGGCCCAACCGGGCUCUAAGACAGGCCAAGACUGUAGAAAGAGUGUCAGAGCUUGGCCGCUGUGUGUUUUGUCACAGGGGAGGUGACCUUGCCCAAGGGCAGUGCCUCAUGGUGGAGAGAAACCAGGACAGAGGAUUGGGCUUGUGCAAGGGGCCCGUGCUGGGCCCCUCGUCUCUGAGAUUACAGUCUUGGCUGCCAAGAGCAACUCUGUGGGGGUGGAAUGAGACAAAGCGAAGGUCCUUUUGUGGCGCUGGGUUCCUAAGAAUAGCCAGGGCUGGGCUCCACCAGAGAUGCCUCCAUAGCCUGUCAUGUCCCCAGCCCUGUUCUCAGAGGUGUCCCUGUGCCUGGUGUCCACCAUACUGAUUGCCAGUUGUCGGGGGAGUGGAGCUCAUUAGCCCCACCUCAGCCUCUGUCACCUGUGUUUGUCCAGCUCUGCUGUAAGAGAAGGCAGAGGGCAGAGGAGGAGUGAGCACAGAGUUGGCAUGCAUGUGUUAGGGAGGGAGGCAAAGGCCACGAGCCUGGAAAAGCAAACUGGAGCCACAGCUGGAAACAGUGAUGCACCUGGGAGGAGAGAAGGUGGAACGGGAGGAGCCAGCAUUGGCCAGAUGUGGGAACAGGAGACACCAGAGCUGGGGAGACUUGUGGGAAGCAGCGGCAGGAAGUGCAUGGAGGCAGAGAAGCAGAGGCGAAACCAG
Onychomys torridus (southern grasshopper mouse) is the source of this 2065-nucleotide long non-coding RNA. RefSeq lists it as uncharacterized. The record is from RefSeq and is a predicted model, not a curated record. Lineage: Eukaryota; Metazoa; Chordata; Mammalia; Rodentia; Cricetidae. The transcript has 4 exons.